Lingula anatina is the source of this 679-nucleotide long non-coding RNA. The record is from RefSeq and is a predicted model, not a curated record. Lineage: Eukaryota; Metazoa; Brachiopoda; Lingulata; Lingulida; Lingulidae.
GUGGCCCCUAUUGGAUAUUUCGACUUUUCGACUUUUAGAGUUUGCGACUUUUAGAGUUUUCGACUUUUCGAGUUUGCGACUUUUCGACUUUUUUCUGCGGACAGCUUUUUGCUGCGGAACUUCUGCACAUUUGGCACGCGGAAAGCAAGCAAUGGAAAGUCUUAUUACUAGUUAUUAUUUCAAAGCAGGAUACACAGCAACUGAGAUUGCUAAAACUUUGUCACUUGCCCAUGGCACAUAUGUAAGUGAAUCCUACUUGAGGAAACGUCUUGUCAAAUUGAACUUAAGAAGAAAAUCAGUUGAAAAGGAUUUACCUGAAGUGAUUCAUGCAAUGAGAUAAAUGAAAAGAGACAGGAAGUGAGAGGUCUUCAACAACUUUUAUAAAACUCUUAAUUAAGUCUUAACCAUAACAACACCUUAACAGCUGACUGCCCACAUACCUUGUAUAAACUAUGGAUUCUGCUAUGGUCUGACAGCCAAGAUAACAGCAUUGCAAGGGCCACAUACUUCUUAUUAAAAGGACAUAUAAGGAAUGCGUAUACUGUUUGCUGUUAAGAAGAGACAAGAGAUGGACAUUUGAUGUAUUUUUUUGUGUCUGUUGUUUAAUUUCAAAUGGUUGAAUGUCUCAUGUGCCUAGAUGUUACUGUACAAUUAUAUAUUUAGCUUGGGGUAUUUUAUA